GAUGAACGCUGGCGGCGUGCCUAAUACAUGCAAGUCGAGCGAACAGACGAGGAGCUUGCUCCUCUGACGUUAGCGGCGGACGGGUGAGUAACACGUGGAUAACCUACCUAUAAGACUGGGAUAACUUCGGGAAACCGGAGCUAAUACCGGAUAAUAUAUUGAACCGCAUGGUUCAAUAGUGAAAGACGGUUUUGCUGUCACUUAUAGAUGGAUCCGCGCCGCAUUAGCUAGUUGGUAAGGUAACGGCUUACCAAGGCAACGAUGCGUAGCCGACCUGAGAGGGUGAUCCGGCCAACUUGAAAUUGGAACCCGUCCCAGAUCCCAAGGGGGGGAGCAAGAGGGAAAUCUUCCGAAAGGGGGGAAGGCCUGAGGAGGAAACGCGGGGGGGGGAUUAAGGUUCUUCGAUUCGUAAACCCCUUUAUUAGGGAAGAACAAAUGUGUAAGUAACUAUGCACGUCUUGACGGUACCUAAUCAGAAAGCCACGGCUAACUACGUG
RNAcentral lists this ribosomal RNA (497 nucleotides) under uncultured bacterium. RNAcentral's name for it is "partial 16S ribosomal RNA". It matches the Rfam family "Bacterial small subunit ribosomal RNA", at positions 28 to 507 of the family's 1533-position model. The record is from RNAcentral.